This 368-nucleotide long non-coding RNA is filed under the name Eucalyptus grandis. Its description in RNAcentral is "long non-coding RNA (EGRA_LNC000094)". Lineage: Eukaryota; Viridiplantae; Streptophyta; Magnoliopsida; Myrtales; Myrtaceae. The record is from RNAcentral.
GUUGGUACAGUGCUCUUUGUCAAAUUUGCUAAUCUAUUUGCAGUGAUGAAGAUGUAAUUAAGUCUAAGCAAUCUAAAAUGAAUUAAGAGUACAGUAGCCAAAGCAAAACCCGGAUAUGACGCACAAAUUUUACUGGUCUGAUUUCUCCAAACUAAAUGGAUGGUACAUCAACAUCAUAUAUCUCUCUGAAGCUGUGUCGCAGAGCUUGGUCACUUCUUGGGAUGAUAAUAAGGGUAAAUGGUGAAGAAGGCCUGGAUAACUGUAAGAACUAGGAGAAUGAAAGCAGUGGCAGCCGAAAUGAAAGACCAAGGGAUGCCGAAGUACUCGCGCUUGAUUCCUGCCCACCGCAUGCGCCACUUGUUCCGACG